GUCUCCCUGCUCAAGUGGGCCAUGUCAGAACAACGGAACUUGUGUACCACUGUAUCAAACAAAUGGCUAUAUUUGUCGCUGUACGAGAUCGUACAAAGGAAACCAUUGUGAAAAGACAGUCGAUCACAACUGCAGUUGUUUAUCAGGGCCAGAGGGGAAACAAAUGUGCGACAUAGGAUACUUACUCGUAUUUCCUGCGCCGCGUUCCAUUGAAAACUAUGCCAUGAAAUAUCCAGCCAUACCAUCGGACCUCAGCCAGUUAUCACUGUGUUUUUUUGUAAAAGUUGUUGCAGAUCAAGAACUGCAAU
Pocillopora verrucosa is the source of this 308-nucleotide non-coding RNA. The record is from RefSeq and is a predicted model, not a curated record. NCBI's taxonomy places the organism in Eukaryota, Metazoa, Cnidaria, Anthozoa, Scleractinia, Pocilloporidae.